This 253-nucleotide ribosomal RNA is filed under the name uncultured bacterium. RNAcentral describes it as "partial 16S ribosomal RNA". It matches the Rfam family "Bacterial small subunit ribosomal RNA", at positions 524 to 776 of the family's 1533-position model. The record is from RNAcentral.
UACGGAGGGUGCAAGCGUUAUCCGGAUUUACUGGGUUUAAAGGGUGCGUAGGUGGGUUGGUAAGUCAGUGGUGAAAUACUUUCGCUUAACGAAGGAACUGCCAUUGAUACUACCAGUCUUGAAUACAGUGGAGGUAGGCGGAAUGCGUCAUGUAGCGGUGAAAUGCUUAGAUAUGACGCAGAACACCAAGUGCGAAGGCAGCUGGGUACACUGUUAUUGACACUGAGGCACGGAAGCGUGGGGAUCAAACAGG